UAGACCAAAGAAAAUUCCAACUAUACAGGUGCUUGUACAAAACACUGAACCAUCUUCCCCAGACCCUAUGUUAGAUGUUUAAUGCUAUGUUUCUUAUUUGGUACAAAAUGUCUUGAGGAAGUAUUCCAUUUAACCUCACAUUUAAGGGGGAAAAUAAGGACUCUUUCUUAAUAAUUUUUCCCAAGAAAUAGAUAUUUAACAACUUCAUGAAUUCUUAUGACAAAACUUCGGAUGACUUGCUCUUGAAUCAAUAAAAAUAAAGUAGUCUUGAAACACUAACAACAUCCAAGACUCUUAAGAAAUUAUACAUGGUGGUAUAGACCUGUAAUCUCAACAGCCUGGAGGCUGAGGAUCAUGAAUUUGGGGGCAAGAUGGGCUGUGUAGGAAGCCAGAAGUUAACCUGAGAUACACAGUAAGGUCCUGUUUUAAAAAUAAAUAAGCUAAGUGUGGAGAUGCAUGUAAUCCCAAUACUUAGGAGUUUCAAGAUAGGAGGAUAAUGAGCUCAAGGCCCAUCUAAGGCUACAUAGCAAGACCCUGUCUUAAACAAUACGAAGCAUAAAGACAUUGUUCUAGUUUUGAAUUUGCACAACAGUGUAUCAAUUUUUGAUUGUAUUCCUGCAUUGUUAAAAAUGAAUAUAUUUCACAUAAAUUAUUGAGAGUCUCUGAGCUAUUUCCUGGGUAUUGAGACUCAUCUACAAAAAACAAUUUAGGCUUUAGGUCUAUCAUUUAGUUUUGAUGUUAUUUUGUGAGACACAAUUUCAUUAUAUAGGCUAGGGUGCCUUUAAACUUUAAUCCUCCUCCUGCCUUGGCCUUUUGAGUGCUGAAAUCAUAAGCAUGAGCCACAUGCCUGACUGAACCAAUAUUAGUAGAUUCCAGAGAUACCUUGGAGAGUCUCUAGAUUCCAUAGCAAGAAUAUUCUAAUUAAUAAUAAUAAUAAUAAUAAUAAUAAUAAUAAUAAUAAUAAUAAAUGAGGGAUGAGAGAGGGUAGCAUAGUUGGGAGUACUUGUAGAGAGGUCUAGAACUCUAGUUCUUCUGCAAGCAUACAUGAUCUCUUGCACUAAAUCAUUCAGCCAUUUUCCUGGGUAAUCUCGAGGGUACUUGUCCCUAUAUGUUAUGCUCUAGAGAAACUCCUAAACGAUAUGCAUGUUUUCCUAAAGUGGAGUUCACUGUAACAUGUUUUCCGCAGAACAGGGGUCUCAUGGGAAAGAGUUGGGUUAGUAUUCUGUGACUGUGAUAGAAUAUCUGAGGAAAUGUAUAAAGAAGGGUUUAUUCUGGUUCAUAGUUUCAGAUGAUGGGCACUUGGCUCCACAUUUGGUAGGGAGCUCAUGGAGUACAGCUACUCACCUCAUGGUGGUCAGGGAGAGCUGGAAAAUAAGGGGCCCAUACAGUAUAUCCCCUUCCUAUAUAUGCUCAGAGUCAUACCUACAAGUAGGUAGUACCUCCCCAAAUUUCCAUCAUCUCAAAUAUUUACUUAAUCAUAAACUCAUCAAUGAACUAAUUCAAUGAUUAAUGAACCCAUGACCCAGUCACUUCUCAAAGGCCCCGCCUCUAAAUACUGCUAUGCUAGGGACCAAGACUUCAACACAUAAGCUUUUAAGGUACAAUCCACAUCUAAACCAUAACAGUGAGAGUAUGACCAACAAUCACCCAGAGAGCUUAGAAGAGUUCCUUGGAAAUCAAGGCAACUCCAUCAUCCCCUAGAUUUCCAGCCUCUCCCUUACAAAUGAUCAUAAACAGAACCUCGCUUACUGCUCCCCACUUCCUGCUGCUCUUCACCUCUUUUUAUCGGCACAAACUAACUGCACAACCUGCUCUUUCGUGGUUCUUUCCUUCAGGCAAUCAUUACGACAUAUCUCAGCUGCUGUUUCUCCUCGAGUCCCUGUGCCACUGAAGUUGGCACACUGUGACAGCCAUCAGCUGUGACUAGACCCGAUUCCAUAAUACUAGAAAAUACUCUGCAAGCUGCCAAAGGAGGGAAGCAAUCAGUGGUUUCAUACAGCCGGGAUGCCUAUGAACCACAACAAUGACCAGCAUGGCAAGAGAUCCCUAAAGGUACAAAAGUGGCACUCACCUAUUGGCUGUAACCAAAGCUGUCUAAUGAGACUUAAGGCUACUCAACAGGAGGGGAGUCAUGGAUGGUACUACCAGCCUCACCAGCCACCCAGGGCUACCAAGGCCAUGGAUUUUAGAAGAGAAUCUACUAUAACACUUGCUAGAUCAGCAUAAUCCUUUACUACUUUCUAAAUUGUUUCCUUAUACACAGAGGUAAGUGUGGCUCUUACCCCUCAUCAAAAAGGUCUCUCUUUGACCUUGGAACACUCAGUCCUAAAUGGAAGGUCUUCAUCAAACCCCUCACCUCAGAGCUCAGGGAAGAGGAGUAGGGGAGACUGGAAGAGCCAGAGGAUGGAGAGCACCCAGGAAACAGUGUCCUCCAGAUGCUACAGGACUGCAGCACACACAAACUCAUAGACAGGAUGGCAUCAUGGACAAAGCCUGCACAGGUCUAAGCCAAGUGGGGCCCAAGCAAUAAGCUGGGGAAGUGGACACACUCUCCUAUCCCUAACGAAGAAUCUGUCUUCAGUUGAUGCCUGCUUACAAAGGAAAAAUUAGUUUUCUCCAAUGGAGUCUCACUCGGUAUAUAAACCAACUUGAGGGUAGGGCCAUGACCAACAGUAGAUGGCCAACACAAAACAAAUUCAAUGGUAUUUUUGGAAACUUUAUCUCAUAACUUUGUCUGUUUUUUUUUUCCCUUACAGGCCUUUUGCUUGCAUAUUAUGGUUUCUGAUUUUGUGUUUUUAUGGGUUCUGUUUUGUAUCCACCCCUUUUGGUAUUAUUAAUUCAAAACUUUGGCUGUUGUUAGGUUUUUAGUGAUUUUACUAUGAUCUGCAUUUGUUUCCUUUAUGAUUAUUGUUAAUGUCAGUUUGCCAUCUGUGUGUCCUCUUAGCCAAAUGUCUCCUGUGCAUCAUGCUCAUUUCUCAUGAAAGUUUCACUUUUUGAUUGUU
This is a long non-coding RNA of Peromyscus leucopus (white-footed mouse), 3002 nucleotides long. RefSeq lists it as uncharacterized. Lineage: Eukaryota; Metazoa; Chordata; Mammalia; Rodentia; Cricetidae. The record is from RefSeq and is a predicted model, not a curated record. The transcript is spliced from 2 exons.